Molecule: ribosomal RNA, 443 nt
Filed under: uncultured bacterium
Lineage: Bacteria
Description: partial 16S ribosomal RNA
Rfam family: Bacterial small subunit ribosomal RNA
Source: RNAcentral
CCUACGGGUGGCAGCAGUGGGGAAUAUUGCACAAUGGGCGAAAGCCUGAUGCAGCAACGCCGCGUGAAGGAAGAAGGCUUUCGGGUUGUAAACUUCUUUUCUCAGGGACGAAGCAAGUGACGGUACCUGAGGAAUAAGCCACGGCUAACUACGUGCCAGCAGCCGCGGUAAUACGUAGGUGGCAAGCGUUAUCCGGAUUUACUGGGUGUAAAGGGCGAGUAGGCGGGAAAGCAAGUCAGAUGUGAAAACCAUGGGCUCAACCUGUGGCCUGCAUUUGAAACUGUUUUUCUUGAGUACUGGAGAGGCAGACGGAAGUCCUAGUGUAGCGGUGAAAUGCGUAGAUAUUAGGAGGAACACCAGUGGCGAAGGCGGUCUGCUGGACAGCAACUGACGCUGAGGCGCGAAAGCGUGGGGAGCAAACAGGAUUAGAUACCCCAGUAGUC